GAGUUUGAUCCUGGCUCCAGAUUGAACGCUGGCGGCAUGCCUUACACAUGCAAGUCGAACGGCAGCACGGGAGCUUGCUCCUGGUGGCGAGUGGCGAACGGGUGAGUAAUGCAUCGGAACGUAUCCUGGAGUGGGGGAUAACGUAGCGGAAGUUACGCUAAUACCGCAUAUUCUGUGAGCAGGAAAGCGGGGGACCUUCGGGCCUCACGCUCUUGGAGCGGCCGAUGUCGGAUUAGCUAGUUGGUGAGGUAAAGGCUCACCAAGGCGACGAUCCGUAGCAGGUCUGAGAGGAUGAUCUGCCACACUGGAACUGAGACACGGUCCAGACUCCUACGGGAGGCAGCAGUGGGGAAUUUUGGACAAUGGGGGCAACCCUGAUCCAGCCAUGCCGCGUGAGUGAAGAAGGCCUGGUUGUAAG
RNAcentral lists this ribosomal RNA (418 nucleotides) under bacterium enrichment culture clone ALO1_GLFRUDD03GIWBE. RNAcentral describes it as "bacterial SSU rRNA". It matches the Rfam family "Bacterial small subunit ribosomal RNA", at positions 9 to 429 of the family's 1533-position model. The record is from RNAcentral.